RNAcentral lists this ribosomal RNA (372 nucleotides) under uncultured bacterium. Its description in RNAcentral is "bacterial SSU rRNA". It matches the Rfam family "Bacterial small subunit ribosomal RNA", at positions 129 to 494 of the family's 1533-position model. The record is from RNAcentral.
CCUGGUUAGUGGGGGAUAACGUUCGGAAACGGACGCUAAUACCGCAUAACNUCCUACGGGAGAAAGCAGGGGACCUUCGGCCCUUGCGCUAUCAGAUGAGCNUAGGUCGGAUUAGCUAGUUGGUGGGGUAAUGGCUCACCAAGGCGACGAUCCGUAACUGGUCUGAGAGGAUGAUCAGUCACACUGGAACUGAGACACGGUCCAGACUCCUACGGGAGGCAGCAGUGGGGAAUAUUGGACAAUGGGCGAAAGCCUGAUCCAGCCAUGCCGCGUGUGUGAAGAAGGUCUUCGGAUUGUAAAGCACUUUAAGUUGGGAGGAAGGGCAUUAACCUAAUACGUUAGUGUUUUGACGUUACCGACAGAAUAAGCACC